Molecule: ribosomal RNA, 484 nt
Filed under: uncultured bacterium
Lineage: Bacteria
Description: partial 16S ribosomal RNA
Rfam family: Bacterial small subunit ribosomal RNA
Source: RNAcentral
AGUGAACGCUGGCGGCGUGCUUAACACAUGCAAGUCGAACGAGAACGGAUUAUAGCUUGCUAUAAUAGUCAGCUAAGUGGCGCACGGGUGAGUAAUGUAUAGGUAAUAUGCCUCUUACUAAGGGAUAACAAAUGGAAACGUUUGUUAAUACCUUAUACUCCUUAUUAACAGAAGUUAAUAAGGGAAAGAUUUAUUGGUAAGAGAUUAGCCUGUAUUGUAUCAGUUAGUUGGUGGGGUAAUGGCUUACCAAGACUAUGACACAUAACUGGUUUGAGAGGAUGAUCAGUCACACUGGAACUGGGACACGGUCCAGACUCCUACGGGAGGCAGCAGUGGGGAAUAUUGCACAAUGGACGAAAGUCUGAUGCAGCAACGCCGCGUGGAGGAUGACACAUUUCGGUGCGUAAACUCCUUUUAUAUGAGAAGAUAAUGACGGUAUUAUAUGAAUAAGCACCGGCUAACUCCGUGCCAGCAGCCGCCGUAA